This 754-nucleotide ribosomal RNA is filed under the name Escherichia coli. Its description in RNAcentral is "partial 23S ribosomal RNA". It matches the Rfam family "Bacterial large subunit ribosomal RNA", at positions 2159 to 2907 of the family's 2925-position model. Lineage: Bacteria; Pseudomonadati; Pseudomonadota; Gammaproteobacteria; Enterobacterales; Enterobacteriaceae. The record is from RNAcentral.
GAAGUGUGGACGCCAGUCUGCAUGGAGCCGACCUUGAAAUACCACCCUUUAAUGUUUGAUGUUCUAACGUUGACCCGUAAUCCGGGUUGCGGACAGUGUCUGGUGGGUAGUUUGACUGGGGCGGUCUCCUCCUAAAGAGUAACGGAGGAGCACGAAGGUUGGCUAAUCCUGGUCGGACAUCAGGAGGUUAGUGCAAUGGCAUAAGCCAGCUUGACUGCGAGCGUGACGGCGCGAGCAGGUGCGAAAGCAGGUCAUAGUGAUCCGGUGGUUCUGAAUGGAAGGGCCAUCGCUCAACGGAUAAAAGGUACUCCGGGGAUAACAGGCUGAUACCGCCCAAGAGUUCAUAUCGACGGCGGUGUUUGGCACCUCGAUGUCGGCUCAUCACAUCCUGGGGCUGAAGUAGGUCCCAAGGGUAUGGCUGUUCGCCAUUUAAAGUGGUACGCGAGCUGGGUUUAGAACGUCGUGAGACAGUUCGGUCCCUAUCUGCCGUGGGCGCUGGAGAACUGAGGGGGGCUGCUCCUAGUACGAGAGGACCGGAGUGGACGCAUCACUGGUGUUCGGGUUGUCAUGCCAAUGGCACUGCCCGGUAGCUAAAUGCGGAAGAGAUAAGUGCUGAAAGCAUCUAAGCACGAAACUUGCCCCGAGAUGAGUUCUCCCUGACCCUUUAAGGGUCCUGAAGGAACGUUGAAGACGACGACGUUGAUAGGCCGGGUGUGUAAGCGCAGCGAUGCGUUGAGCUAACCGGUACUAAUGA